UUAUUUUGUGAAAAUAUGAUUCACAUUAGCGAAAUUGUGUGUUGUGAAGACGACGAGAUCUGAUGCAUAUGAUCUAUUCUCGUAGCCUCAAUCUACUGUCUUGAAGGUAAAGAUCUCUGCAAAUUUAAACAAAAAUCAAAAAAUAAAUUUUCAGUGUACAUAAUAACAAGUCCAUUCAUAUGUGUCCAUAGAGAAACUUUUUUUACUGAGUCAUAUCCAUUCUAUACCAAAUUUUUGUAUAAAUCUGCUCCUUCUACUUCAUUCACCCAAAUAAUCUCUACGUAGAACGAUUCUCUCCCUGAAACCAUAUAAAUAUAUCGUAAUCAUAAAAAAAAGGGGUGAUAACUUUACUAAACAAUAAAACGCACUCGCAGCAAAUCAAAGACAUAGUUGUCCAUUGACAAGUGUCCAAGAAGUCAAGUCCAAAUGGUCAUCUAGUAAUUAACAUAAUCAAUUCAUAUCAAUACACACGAUAAUCAUCAGUUAAAAGUACACCGUCCAUUUUUCUUUGACCAAUAUUUGCUUGUGUAUGGACACAACCAUCAUUAUAAAAUGGAUCCAUACUAUACAUAGAAU
Molecule: small RNA, 576 nt
Filed under: Arabidopsis thaliana (thale cress)
Lineage: Eukaryota; Viridiplantae; Streptophyta; Magnoliopsida; Brassicales; Brassicaceae
Description: ATSL150890
Source: RNAcentral